UACCUGCACCUGGACAUAAAGACCCUAUGAAGCUUUACUAUUCCCUGGGAUUGGCUUUGGGCCUUUCCUCCACAACUUAGGUGGAAGGCGAAGAAGGCCCCCGGAAUCCAUCAGUGAGAUACAAACUCUAGAAGAGCUCGGAUUCUAACCUUGUGUUAGACCCGCGGGCCAAGGGACAGUCUCAGGUAGACAGUUUCUAUGGGGGGUAGGCCUCCCAAAAGGUAACGGAGGCGUGCAAAGGUUUCCUCGGGCCAGACGGACAUUGGUCCUCGAGUGCAAGGGUAGAAGGGAGCUUGAUUUCAAGACUCACCCGUCGAGCAGAGACGAAAGUCGGCCUUAGUGAUCCGACGGUGCCGAGUGGAAGGGCCGUCGCUCAACGGAUAAAAGUUACUCUAGGGAUAACAGGCUGAUCUUCCCCAAGAGUCCACAUCGACGGGAAGGUUUGGCACCUCGAUGUUGGCUCUUUGCCACCUGGAGCUGUAGGUGGUUCCAAGGGUUGGGAUGUUCGCCCAUUAAUGCGGUACAUGAGCUGGGUUCAGAACGUCGUUCGACAGUUCGGUCCAUAUCUGUUGUGGGUGUUAGAGCAUUGAGAGGACCUUUCCCUAGUACGGGAGGACCGAGAAGGACGCACCUCUAGUGUACCAGUUAUAGUGCCUACGGUAAACGCUGGGUAGCCAAGUGCGGAGAGGAUAACUGCUGAAAGCAUAUAAGUAGUAAGCCCACCCCAGGAUGAGUGCUCUCUCCUCUGACUUCCCUAGAGCCUCCGGUAUCACAGCCGAGACAGCGACGGGUUCUCCACCCAUACGGGGAUGGAGCGACAGAAGUAUGGAAAUAGGAUAAGGUAGCGGCGAGACGAGCCGUUUAAAUAGGUGUCAAGUGGAAGUGCAGUGAUGUAUGCAGCUGAGGCAUCCUAACGAACGAACGAUUUGAACCU
This 934-nucleotide ribosomal RNA is filed under the name Triticum aestivum (bread wheat). Its description in RNAcentral is "rRNA LSU_rRNA_eukarya". It matches the Rfam family "Bacterial large subunit ribosomal RNA", at positions 2067 to 2925 of the family's 2925-position model. The record is from RNAcentral. Lineage: Eukaryota; Viridiplantae; Streptophyta; Magnoliopsida; Poales; Poaceae.